GAGACAGUAGAGAGACAGAAGGUAAAAGAAGAGAGAGAGAGAGAUAAAGCCCUUGAAUUGACAAUUGAGAGACCGUAGAGACAGAAGGUAAAAGAAGAGAGAGACAGUAGAGAGACAGAAGGUGAAAGAAGAGAGAAAGUAGAGAGACAGACGGUAAAAGAAGAGAGAGAGAGAGAGACAGAAGGUGAAAGAAGAGAGAGACAGUAGAGAGACAGAAGGUGAAAGUAGAGAGACAGACGGUAAAAGAAGAGAGAGAGAGAGAGACAGAAGGUAAAAUAAGAGAGAGACAGUAGAGAGACAGAAGGUAAAAGAACAGAGAGACAGUAGAGAGACAGACGGUAAAAGUAGGGAGAGAGAGAGAGAGACCGUAGAGAAACAGACGGUAAAAGUAGGGAGAGAGAGAGAGAGAGACAGAAGGUAAAAUAAGAGAGAGAGAGACAGAAGAUAAAAGAAGAGAGAGACAGAAGAUAAAAGAAGAGAGAGAGAGAGACCGUAGAGACAGAAGGUAAAAGAAGAGAGAGACAGUAGAGACAGAAGGUAAAAGAAGAGAGAGACAGUAGAGAGACAGACGGUAAAAGAAGAGAGAGAGAGAGACAGACGGUAAAAGAAGAGAGAGACAGUAGAGAGACAGACGGUAAAAGAAGAGAGAGAGACAGACGGUAAAAGAAGAGAGAGAGAGAGAAAGACCGUAUAGACAGAAGGUAAAAGAAGAGAGAGACAGUAGAGAGACAGACGGUAAAAUAAGAGAGAGAGAGAGAGACAGGAGUUUGAUUAAAGAGAACAAAAUCUCAAACAAGAGUCAGAAGACAGAGAGUGCGUGUCAUCAGCAAUCAGCUAAUUCCACUAGCUAACACUGGCUCCAUAAUCAGAUACUCAUUGAUCAAGCUGUUGGACGUCGACACAUAGCCUACGUCCCAAAUGACACCCUUUUCCCUACAUAGUGCACUACUUUUAACCGGAGCCCUAUGGGCCCUAUUCAAAAGUUGUGCACUAUAUAAGGAAUAGGGUCCAUUUGGGAUGAAGCCAUAGAGUUCACAGAGGUCCAGACUCAAUUAAAGCCUCAUCCAAAGAACUACAGAGGAACAGGUCCAGUCGAUAUCCUCCUCUUCCCUCUCUGUACCCCCUGACAACUCUACCACCCUACCCCCGGUCAAAGGGGAACCCCUUCGAGACUCCAACCCCACUCACAGUCAAGGGCUUUGGGAGAGAUCUUCCCCACAUAUCCCCCUUCCCUCCAAAGCCACAGUGCAGUACAGUGAUGCUCAUGAAGUAAAGAUUUAAGUUGGCUCUUUGGGAAUGUUUCUGUGAAGUGAACAUGGCUCUUUGGGAAAGUUUCUCUGAAGUGAAC
Long non-coding RNA from Oncorhynchus keta (chum salmon), 1348 nucleotides. RefSeq lists it as uncharacterized. Lineage: Eukaryota; Metazoa; Chordata; Actinopteri; Salmoniformes; Salmonidae. The record is from RefSeq and is a predicted model, not a curated record. The transcript has 3 exons.